Molecule: ribosomal RNA, 459 nt
Filed under: uncultured bacterium
Lineage: Bacteria
Description: bacterial SSU rRNA
Rfam family: Bacterial small subunit ribosomal RNA
Source: RNAcentral
GAUGAACGUUGGCGGCGUGCCUAAUACAUGCAAGUCGAACGAAGACUGUAGUAAUACUGUCUUAGUGGCGAACGGGUGAGUAACGCGUGGGUGACCUGCCCCGAAGUGUGGGAUAACAGUCCGAAAGGAUUGCUAAUACUGCAUAAUAUCCAAGAGAUUAGACGCUUUCGGAUUAAAGGAGUAAUUCGCUUCGGGAGGGGCCCGCGUCCCAUCAGCUAGUUGGUAAGGUAAUGGCUUACCAAGGCGAUGACGGGUAGGGGACCUGAGAGGGUGGCCCCCCAAAUGGAACUGAAACACGGUCCAUACACCUACGGGUGGCAGCAGUAGGGAAUAUUAGAAAUGGGCGGAAGCCUGAUCUAGCAACACCGCGUGUGCGAUGAAGGCCUUCGGGUCGUAAAGCACUUUUUGGAGGGAAUAGGAAGGAAGGUGCCUCCAGAAUAAGUCUCGGCUAACUACGUG